AGCCUAUUGAUUAUUAUAUAAUAGGUAUAUCCUGCCCAGUGAUUAAUUAAAUGGCCGCGGUAUCCUGACCGUGCAAAGGUAGCAUAAUCAUUCGCCUUCUAAUUAAAGGCUAGUAUGAACGGACAAACGAGAGCCCCCCUGUCUCUUUUAUACAUCUAAAAACUAACCUUCAGGUGAAGAGGCCUGAAUCUUCUUAAAAGACAAGAAGACCCUGUUGAGCUUCAUUCCUCUAGAACAAUCUCUAUACAAUCAACUUCUAAUCGAAUUUUGUUGGGGCAACAAAAGAGCAAACUAAAACUCUCUUAUAUCUAAGAUCCCAAAUCUUUUACAAGAUCCAAUAUUUGAUCUCAGGCAUUAGCUACCCCAGGGAUAACAGAUUAAUUUUUCUUAAGAGGCCAUAUCUACAGAAAAGUUUGACACCUCGAUGUUGGCUUAGGAUAACUUCUAAACGCAGCCGUUAAAGAAGUCGGUUUGUUCAACCCUUAAUUU
RNAcentral lists this ribosomal RNA (489 nucleotides) under Paradiopatra fiordica. RNAcentral's name for it is "partial 16S ribosomal RNA". It matches the Rfam family "Archaeal large subunit ribosomal RNA", at positions 1909 to 2663 of the family's 2987-position model. Lineage: Eukaryota; Metazoa; Annelida; Polychaeta; Eunicida; Onuphidae. The record is from RNAcentral.